Molecule: long non-coding RNA, 6020 nt
Filed under: Olea europaea subsp. europaea
Lineage: Eukaryota; Viridiplantae; Streptophyta; Magnoliopsida; Lamiales; Oleaceae
Source: RNAcentral
GGAAAAUUCAGUCAAAAUGAAGAACUAAGCAUUUCAAGUAUUACUUGAUUGAGUAUGCAGUUGAUACUUUCCGCUUUAUAAACUCUAUCCUAGAAUGACACCAUAGAGGUAAAACUUACUGAGAGACUUUGUGGCCUUUAAUGAGCUGCAGCUUUUUUAUGGCAGCAGAAAGAUGAUCUUCCUCCAACAUGUGCCUUUGCUUCCAAUAAUUAUCAAUCACUUGCUUGGCCACAUUUAGUAACAUAAGCAUACAUUUCCCCAUGACAAGAAACCUUGGUACCAGUAGCAUCGGCGUAGAUGGUCGGCUGACCUUGAGUUUUGGUUGCUUCAUUUCAAUUGCUUCCAAUCAAAGAACUGGCUUAUGGAAGUUUUGCACAAGAUUUUUCUUGCAGAUAUUGUGUAUUAAUAAAAGCACUGCAAUGAUGAUGAUGACGACCAAGGUGAUGGUGAUGGUGGUGGUGGUGGUGGUGGUGGUGAAGAAGAAUAAUUGUAGUUAAGAACAAAAAAGAAUAAAAAAAAGACAUAUGACCUGAUCAAUGAACUACCAUAUUAAACAAAUUUUCAAAUAUGUAUAGUCUGGGACUUGAGAGUCCAGUCGUAGGUCUUGUGCAAAAAGACAAACAAUGUGAUAGAACCCUGCGGCCAAAAGACUAACGAACGGAAAAAUUCAAGGAAUUCACGUAAAUCAACAAUAACAACUCAAAAUGUAAUACUGUAUUGACAUAAAAUUCUGAGAUAACAUCAACAGGAAUUACUCUCCAAUAUAACUCAAAAAUUGACUGAAAUGAAAUGACAAUAAUGAAAUGAAUAAAUGGACUUUCGAGAGGUCCAAACUCUCCCCAGACUUUCCUGAUUUUCUCGCUGCCCUUUCUUCCCUGCUUCUUCUGUUUAUAUAAUGGCCCUAACUAAAUCUGUUGUGACACAUGCUGGUUGUUACAAUCUUUCCUGCCCUUCCUUUUCUGUCCCUGCCUUGCUUUUACGUCUUUGGUAUUUGAUUUGUAUAGGUGGCCUAUCAUUACUCCCUCCCACGAAACUCACCUUGUCCUCAAGGUGGAAUUCUGAAGAUUGAUGUUUCAGCAGCUCAUAUGGUUCCCAGGUUGCCUCCAAAGGUGGCAACCCUCUCCAUUGGAUUAAAACUUCAAUACCCUGGAUGUUAUUUCCUUUCCCAGGUCUGAUCCCCAAAAUUGCCUGCGGCUCUACUAUCAUUUCCAAAUCCUCGUUCAAGUGGUUGGGGAUAUCUAUUACCACCUGGGGAUUUCCUUCAACCUUGCGCAGCUGAGACACAUGGAAUACUGGAUGAAUAAGACAAUUCUCCGGCAAUUUCAACUGAUAUGCCACCAUUCCCACUCUCUUCUCAACCCUAUAAGGACCGUAGAAUCUAGGGGCUAGCUUCUCAUUUGAGCGGGAUGAUAAAGUUUUGCGACGAUAAGGCCAUAUCUUAAGAUAAACCAAGUCCCCGACUUCGAAUUGGACAUUCCUCCUCUUACUGCCUGCUGUCCUUUUCAUGUAUGAUUGAGCCCGGAGUAGCUGCCAUCUUAGUUCUUCCAACACUUCAUCUCUUUCUAUCAGUUGUUGUUCCACUGCUGACACUGGAGUAGAACCUCUCUCAAACCUGACUAACAACGGGGGUUCCCUCCCAUACAAAAACUGAAACGGAGAGAUUUUAGAUGAAGUAUGAUAUGAAGUAUUAUACCACAAUUCAACCCAUGGUAACCAGCUGACCCAUGACUUUGGUUUAGAAGAGGCAAAGCAGCGAAGAUACGUUUCCACUGUUCGAUUCACCACCCCCGAUUGACCAUCCGAUUGUGGAUGAUAGGCGGUGCUACGACAUAAUUUGGUGCCCUGCAGCCUAAAUAAUUCUUCCCAGAACCUGCUCAUGAAAAUUUUAUCCCUGUCUGAUACAAUAGAGCGUGGUACUUCAUGGAGCCUCACAAUCUCCUUUACAAAAGUCCUUGCAACCCCAGCAGCCGAGAAGGGGUGCUUUAAGGCUAUAAAAUGUGCAUACUUACUCAGCCUAUCUAUAACAACCAAUAUGGAAUCCCAGCCUCCAGACUUGGGUAGUCCCUCCACGAAAUCCAUGGCAAUGUCUUCCCAUACUUGGUUUGGUAUUGCUAGAAGUAGCAACAACCCACCUGGAGAUAGCGCUUCAUACUUAUUUUGCUGGCAAAUGGAGCAAUUUUUGACAUACUGAUGGAUAUCUUUCUUCAUGCCAACCCAAUACACAUUCGAAUUAAUUCUCUUGUAGGUCUUCAAGAACCCCGAGUGUCCUCCCAUCCUGCCAUCAUGACCCUCAGACAACACCAAGGGUAUCAAAGUUGACCCCUUGGGUAACAUCAAUCUUCCUUUAUACAAUAAUUGUCUCUCACAGAUUGAGUAAUCUAGCCAAUCAGAAGGAUGUUGUUUGAGCUCUUCAACAAUUUUCUGCAAGGUUUUAUCCUCAGCAACUUCUCUUGCCAGCUCUUCCAAUUGUUCUAUCCCCGGCAGAGAUAAUGCCAUCAACUUCGGAGAAUGAGGCACUCACGAUAGGGCAUCGGCUGCUUUAUUCUCCAAGCCCAGUUUAUACUGAAUUUCAAAUUGGAAUCCCAUGAGUUCCACCAUCCACUUCUGAUACUCCGGAUUAAUUAAUCUUUGUUCCCAUAAAAAUUUCAAACUUCUCUGGUCCGUCCUAAUAAUGAAAUGGUGCCCCAUGAGGUAAUGUCUCCAUUUCUGAACUGCAAAAACUAUAGCCAUGAGUUCUCUCUCAUAGACUGAUUUUUCCCUCCCCUUUGGAUUCAAUGUCUGACUGAAGAAAGCGAUGGGACGUCGAUCUUGCAUCAACACUGCCCCCAAACCAUGACCGGAGGCAUCUGUCUCCACGAUGAAGGUCUUAGUAAAGUCUGGUAGGCCUAGAACUAGCAAUGUUAUCAUCUUCUUCUUUAACUCCUUAAAGGCCUUUUCAGCCACUUCGUCCCAAUAAAAGUUAUUCUUCUUCAAUCUCUCUGUUAAUGGCCAGGCAAGUUUUCCAUAAUCUUUCACUAACCUCCUAUAAUAUCCCGUCAAACCCAAAAAACCGCGAAGCUCUCGGAGGGUUCGUGGAGGUGGCCAAUCUACCAUUGCCUGAAGUUUAACCUUAUCGGCUGCCACCCCGUGCUGCGAUAUGACGUGCCCCAAGUAUUCUAUCUCUUGCUGCCCAAAUAUGCAUUUCUUUCGAUUUAAGCACAGUUGUUGCUCCUCAAGAAUUUGAAGUACCCCUCUCAAAUGCUAUCGAUGUUCUUCCAAGUUCCGACUGUACACAAGGAUGUCAUCAAAAAAAACUAACACGGACCUCAUCAACCGUUCUUUAAAAAUGUCGUUCAUCAGAGCUUGAAAAGUGGCUGGGGCGUUCGUUAAUCCAAAGGGCAUAACCAAAAACUCAUAAUGCCCUUCGUGAGUACGGAAGGCUGUUUUAGGGAUAUCCUCCGCUGCUACCCGAAUUUGAUGAUAUCCUGCUUUCAAAUCUAGUUUAGAGAAAAUGGUGGCACUGUGCAAUUCAUCAAACAACUCUUCUAUUACCGGAAUUGGAAACUUAUCAGGCACCGUUGCUUUAUUAAGAGCUCGAUAGUCCACACAAAAUCUCCACCCUCCGUCCUUCUUCUUAACCAACAACACAGGGCUGCAAAAUGGACUCACACUAGGCCGAAUUAUGCCUGCAGCUAGCAUCUCCUUCACCAACUUCUCAAUCUCAUUUUUCUGACUGUAAGGAUAGCGAUAAGGUCUGAUGCUUACUGGCUUGGCCCCAGGUUGGAGUAUAAUUGUAUGAUCUCUGCCUCGGCGGGGUGGCAAUCCCCACGGAUCUUGGAAGAUUCCCUCAAAUUCCUUUAAUAAUGACUCUAACUCCUUGGGCAUAUGUGUCUGCCUUUCCUCCCCAUAUUUGACUUCGAUUGCUAAGCUCCCGAGCUCCAACAAGAUCCCCUCCCCUCUUUCCUUAAAGGCCUUCAUCAUUGCCUUUAAGCCAACUAAUGACUUACUCAAACUGGGAUCCCCUUGCAGGGUAACCGUCGUCUCACCUACCUGGAAUCGCAUUACCAAAGCCUGCCAAUCCACCGUCAUUUUCCCCAAGGAGGACAACCACUUCAUCCCUAAUAUAACGUCCGAACUACCCAGCUCCAAGGGAAGGAAAUCAUCAACAAUCUCUAGAUUUUGGAGCUUGAGGACAACUCCUUUACAAAUCCCAGCUCCCUGCACAGCAAGACCCAUUCCCAUGAUCACACCAUAGCCCGACGUCUCUGUUCGAUGUAUUUCUAAUUUCUGGACCAGUUCCACUGAUAUAAAAUUGUGUGUUGCACCACAAUCCACCAACACCACCACCUCCUGCUCUCCAAUUCUCCCUUUAACCUUCAUGGUAUGGGGCGAAGUUACCCCUACCACCGAAUUGAUGGAAAGCUCCACCGCUUCCCCCUCUUUACCCAACACCUUAUCCUCUUCUACCUCCUGCAGGAUAUCCCCCACUUCUUUGACUGCCGUGGUACCCUCUUCCUCGUGAAUCAACAUCACGCACAACUCCCUGUUUUUACAUCUAUGCCCAAUAGUAUAUUUUUCAUCGCAUCGAAAGCAUAGUCCCUUCUCCCUUUUCGCUUGUAGUUCAGCCUCACUUAGUCGUUUAAAGGUGGAGUUGCUGUUCUUCCCAACCGGCGAUGGUUGCGAACUCGAAGCCGUGUUGAAUCGGGGGAGAUAAUUGGAAGUCGCCUGGUUGGGAUGGGUCGGGUGCGUCCUGGGAGUUAUUAGACUGCUUCUCGGUGGGUUGGAAUUAAUAUGGGAGGAAAACCCACCUGCUUUAUUUCUUAUUGGACCGGCCCACUACCCUUGACCCAAUCCGUUUUUCUCAUCUAUCCUUUAGGCCAUUUCCAUUAUUUCUUCUAGCCCACUGGGUCUUAACACCCUUAAUUCAGCCUUCACCUCUACCUUCAACCCAUUAAUGAAGUGCCCCUCUAAUAUCCCAUCUGGAAUCUCUGGAAGCGGCGCAGCUAAGGUCUCAAACCACUGCCACUAUUCCCUCACCGAACCUUCUUGCCGGAGAGCUAAGAACCUCUCUUCACUAGUCCCUCCAUGGGUUGCUCGAAAACGGUUCAGUAGUAGGCCUUUCAAUUCUUCCCAGUUCGACACUUUCUUACGCCUCUGUUGCCAUUGAUACCAUGAGAGGGCUUCCCCGUCAAAGCAAAUAGCGACGGCUUCCAUCUUUUCUGCUUCGGAAAUCUGAGUGAGGUUAAAAUAUCGUUCAGCUUUGAACACCCACCCUUUUGGAUUCUCUCCUUCAAACACCGGAACCUCCAGUCUCCUAUUCCUACACUCCAGUCGCCACAGCCCUCCAGAUUGCUCUACAUCUCCAGGUGUUAUUGUUGAGUUUCCAGUGAAUUCUGAAUCAGGGACCUCCUCUGGGCCCUUCGCUUUCCGUUCCCUUUCUCGAUCAUCCCAGCUGUGCAUCACCAGUUUAAACUGCUCCAUCAUCAGACCCAUGUUCUUCUCUAUACUAUGGAUCCGCUGCAUUUCAGACUUCAUUACUUCCAUCCCAUUCUGAAUAGUUUCCAUUCUUCCCUCCAAUUCCCCUACACGAUCAGUGAGCGUCAUUCCAGGAGCUUGCUCUGAUACCAAAAUGAUAGAACCAUGCGGCCAAAAGACUAACGAACGGAAAAAUUCAAGGAAUUCAUGUAAAUCAGCAAUAACAACUCAAAAUGUGAUAUUGUAUUGACAUAAAAUUCUGAGAUAACAUCAAUAGGAAUUACUCUCCAAUAUAACUCAAAAAUUGACUGAAAUGAAGUGACAAUAAUGAAAUGGAUAAAUGGACUUUCGAGAGGUCCAAACUCUCCCCAGACUUUCCUGAUCUUCUCGCUGCCCUUUCUUCCCUGCUUCUUCUGUUUAUAUAAUGGCCCUAACUGAAUCUGUUGUGACACAUGCUGGUUGUUAUAAUCUUUCCUGCCCUUCCUUUUCUGCCCCUGCCUUACUUUUACGUCUUUGGUAUUUGAUUUGUAUAGGUGGCCUAUCACAAUGAUCGUUAAGAAUAUACU